UUUGGGAAGCUGGGUGAUUUUUGUGCUCACAGCCGGCCAGAGAAGGGAGGACUGGCAUCCGCCAGACCCGUUAGCACGCUGCUGCCAGCGUUUAUUCUUUGGUCAUUGUUGUCGAAUGAUCCUGAUUUGUAAUCUCUUUUUCUGCCUGAGAUCCUCUUUUCUUUUUCAGGACUGGUUUGCAUGGCAGCCAGGCAGACGGCACCAUCACCUGUGACUGCAGCCGAAGUCGGCCUCGCUGCCCCCUGAUAAACGUGCCUGGGAAGUGACACAGGGAUUAUCAGCAGGCCCAGCAGCAAAGGUGAUUUUCAAGAGCAGGAAGGAUUGCUGUAAACUGAUCUUGAAUUGCAUCUUCAUAUUUUGUGGUGGAGCACAGAGCUGGUGGACUGGAAGACAUCAGGCUCCAACGUGGCGCAGGCUCUGGAGACAAGGAGAGAAUGUGUGUCUCCCACAGGAUCAGGCAGGAGAAGGCUGGGGAGCCAGGCACCAGCAGGGGCUCGCGGCCAGCAGGCCGCCCCCAUUCACUCAUUCUUCCCAGAAAUGGGCACAAAGUGCAGGUUCAUUCAGAUGCCUUGGCAGACGAUUCCUGGCCCCAAAGUUAUACAAACCAGUCUGUGCUGACUGACACCAAAGCUGCAUCUAUUGGAUUUGUUCUCACAGUGUAACCUGUCUGGACGGAACCAGACUUUGUUGGAGGAAUAAUUAGGGUUGACAGGAAAUUAUCCUGAGAACAACAGGGAGCUGGAAUUUAACUUUGUACACUUUUCCAGCCCUCACAUACAUCCUGAAGACAUUUAAUGAUUUUAAAUUGGGAAGAGCUGGAAAGCUUGUGUGCUGGAAGAUAUUAAAUCUAUCGUCAGCAGCAUA
Long non-coding RNA from Heterocephalus glaber (naked mole-rat), 864 nucleotides. RefSeq lists it as uncharacterized. NCBI's taxonomy places the organism in Eukaryota, Metazoa, Chordata, Mammalia, Rodentia, Bathyergidae. The record is from RefSeq and is a predicted model, not a curated record.